RNAcentral lists this ribosomal RNA (485 nucleotides) under Streptococcus downei. Its description in RNAcentral is "bacterial SSU rRNA". It matches the Rfam family "Bacterial small subunit ribosomal RNA", at positions 28 to 491 of the family's 1533-position model. The record is from RNAcentral. Lineage: Bacteria; Bacillati; Bacillota; Bacilli; Lactobacillales; Streptococcaceae.
GACGAACGCUGGCGGCGUGCCUAAUACAUGCAAGUGGAACGCAUUGAUAUCACCGGAGCUUGCUCCACCGAUAUAAAUGAGUCGCGAACGGGUGAGUAACGCGUAGGUAACCUGCCUGAUAGCGGGGGAUAACUAUUGGAAACGAUAGCUAAUACCGCAUGAGAGUGUUUAACACAUGUUAGAGACUUAAAAGAUACAAUUGUAUCACUAUCAGAUGGACCUGCGUUGUAUUAGCUAGUUGGUAGGGUAGCGGCCUACCAAGGCAACGAUACAUAGCCGACCUGAGAGGGUGAUCGGCCACACUGGGACUGAGACACGGCCCAGACUCCUACGGGAGGCAGCAGUAGGGAAUCUUCGGCAAUGGACGAAAGUCUGACCGAGCAACGCCGCGUGAGUGAAGAAGGUUUUCGGAUCGUAAGCUCUGUUGUAGCGGAAGAACGCGUGUAAGAGUGGAAAGUUACACAGUGACGUACGUACCAGAAAUG